GUGGGGAAUUUUGGACAAUGGGCGCAAGCCUGAUCCAGCAAUGCCGCGUGCAGGAAGAAGGCCUUCGGGUUGUAAACUGCUUUUGUACGGAACGAAACGGUCCUGGUUAAUACCUGGGGCUAAUGACGGUACCGUAAGAAUAAGCACCGGCUAACUACGUGCCAGCAGCCGCGGUAAUACGUAGGGUGCGAGCGUUAAUCGGAAUUACUGGGCGUAAAGCGUGCGCAGGCGGUGCUGUAAGACAGGCGUGAAAUCCCCGGGCUCAACCUGGGAAUUGCGCUUGUGACUGCAGUGCUGGAGUACGGCAGAGGGGGAUGGAAUUCCGCGUGUAGCAGUGAAAUGCGUAGAUAUGCGGAGGAACACCGAUGGCGAAGGCAGUCCCCUGGGCCUGUACUGACGCUCAUGCACGAAAGCGUGGGGAGCAAACAGGAUUAGAUACCCUGGUAGUCC
This 450-nucleotide ribosomal RNA is filed under the name uncultured bacterium. RNAcentral describes it as "bacterial SSU rRNA". It matches the Rfam family "Bacterial small subunit ribosomal RNA", at positions 354 to 796 of the family's 1533-position model. The record is from RNAcentral.